AGCAGCCGCGGUAAUUCCAGCUCCAAUAGCGUAUAUUAAAGUUAUUGCAGUUAAAAAGCUCGUAGUUGAAUUUCGGGAUUAGUAAGUUGGUCGUGCCUCUGGUAUGUACUGGCUUUACUGGUUCCUCCUUCUUGAAGAACUGUAAUGUCAUUAAUUUGGUGUUGCAGGGAAACAGGACUGUUACUUUGAAAAAAUUAGAGUGUUUAAAGCAGGCUAACGCUUGAAUACAUUAGCAUGGAAUAAUGAAAUAGGACGUUUGAUCCUAUUUUGUUGGUUUCUAGGAUUGACGUAAUGAUUAAUAGGGAUAGUUGGAGGCAUUAGUAUUCAAUUGUCAGAGGUGAAAUUCUUGGAUUUUAUUGAAGACUAAACUACUAGCGAAAAGCAUUUGACCAAGGAUUAGUUUUACAUUAAUCAAAGAACGAAAGUUAGGGAAUACGAAGACGAU
Molecule: ribosomal RNA, 445 nt
Filed under: uncultured Glomus
Lineage: Eukaryota; Fungi; Glomeromycota; Glomeromycetes; Glomerales; Glomeraceae
Description: SSU rRNA
Rfam family: Eukaryotic small subunit ribosomal RNA
Source: RNAcentral